UAGAAGUGUCUAUUAUAUUAAUGACAGUUGGU
Molecule: non-coding RNA, 32 nt
Filed under: Mus musculus (house mouse)
Lineage: Eukaryota; Metazoa; Chordata; Mammalia; Rodentia; Muridae
Source: RNAcentral